This 355-nucleotide ribosomal RNA is filed under the name Myurella multistriata. RNAcentral describes it as "Clathroterebra multistriata partial 12S ribosomal RNA". The record is from RNAcentral. Lineage: Eukaryota; Metazoa; Mollusca; Gastropoda; Neogastropoda; Terebridae.
UUUACCNGAGUACUAUGAAUAUUUAAAGAUUUAAAACUCAAAGAACUUGGCGGUGUUUUAGACCACUCAGGGGAACCUGUCUCGUAAUCGACAAUCCACGUUGUACCUGACCUUUUUUUGUUUUCAGUUUGUAUACCGUUGUCGUCAGGUAACUUUUUAGAAAUUAGAAGUUAGCAGUAAAAAUAUUGAUGAUUUAGUACGUCAAAUCAAGGUGCAGCUAAUAAAAAGGGGAGGAUGGGUUACAAUUAUAUGAUUUAUAAUAACGGAUAAACAUACGAAUGUAUGUUAAAUUAUAAGGCGGACUUGAAAGUAAAUUGGAAUAUGUAAGUAAUUUGAAUGAGGCUCUGAAACGUGU